CAGCAGCCCGGUAAUACAGAGGGUGCGAGCGUUAAUCGGAUUUACUGGGCGUAAAGCGUGCGUAGGCGGCUUUUUAAGUCGGAUGUGAAAUCCCUGAGCUUAACUUAGGAAUUGCAUUCGAUACUGGGAAGCUAGAGUAUGGGAGAGGAUGGUAGAAUUCCAGGUGUAGCGGUGAAAUGCGUAGAGAUCUGGAGGAAUACCGAUGGCGAAGGCAGCCAUCUGGCCUAAUACUGACGCUGAGGUACGAAAGCAUGGGGAGCAAACAGGAUUAGAUACCCCCGUAGUCCCUGUCUCUUAUACC
This 301-nucleotide ribosomal RNA is filed under the name uncultured bacterium. RNAcentral describes it as "partial 16S ribosomal RNA". It matches the Rfam family "Bacterial small subunit ribosomal RNA", at positions 509 to 808 of the family's 1533-position model. The record is from RNAcentral.